GGGGUUAUAGCUCAGUGGCACAGGGUCUGCCUGGCAAGCACAAGGUCCUAAGUUCGAUUCCUAGUACCAACA
Molecule: transfer RNA, 72 nt
Organism: Cavia porcellus (domestic guinea pig)
Lineage: Eukaryota; Metazoa; Chordata; Mammalia; Rodentia; Caviidae
Rfam family: tRNA
About the family: Transfer RNA (tRNA) molecules are approximately 80 nucleotides in length. Their secondary structure includes four short double-helical elements and three loops (D, anti-codon, and T loops).
Source: Rfam